GCCCAUUAGCAAGCCCACCCUGACAAAAUCAACAACUCAAUGUUAAUAACCCCCCACACACAAACACCCCC
RNAcentral lists this ribosomal RNA (71 nucleotides) under Rastrelliger kanagurta (Indian mackerel). RNAcentral's name for it is "partial 16S ribosomal RNA". Lineage: Eukaryota; Metazoa; Chordata; Actinopteri; Scombriformes; Scombridae. The record is from RNAcentral.